CUCCUACCGGGGGGCAGCAGUCGGGGAAUUUUGCGCAAUCGGGGGAAAACCCUGAACGCAGCAACGCCGCGUGGAGGAUGAAAUAUCUUGGUAUGUAAACUCCUUUCGAUCGGGGAAGAUAAUGACGGUACCCAUAGAAGAAGACCCCGGCUAACUUCGUGCCAGCAGCCGCGGUAAUUC
Molecule: ribosomal RNA, 180 nt
Filed under: uncultured bacterium
Lineage: Bacteria
Description: partial 16S ribosomal RNA
Rfam family: Bacterial small subunit ribosomal RNA
Source: RNAcentral